GGAGUUCGGUCCGUGUCUCAGUACCGAUGUGUGGGAUCUUCCUUUUAGAACCCAUAGGCAUCAUCGUCUUGGUGGGCCGUUGCCCCGCCAACUAACUAAUGCCACGCAUGCCCAUCCACCACCUAUGAAUAUUUAAUUGGAUACCGAUGCCGGUUCCCAAUGCCAUCGGAGUUUAAUCGUCCUUUCGGUCGGCUAUCUCCGUGUGGUGGGCAGGUUGCAUACGCGUUACUCACCCGUCCGCCGCUCGUCAUCAAAAUAUUGCUAUCUCAUGUUACCGCUCGACUUGCAUGUGUUAGGCCUGCCGCUAGCGUUUAUC
This 316-nucleotide ribosomal RNA is filed under the name uncultured Bacteroidales bacterium. RNAcentral describes it as "partial 16S ribosomal RNA". The record is from RNAcentral. Lineage: Bacteria; Pseudomonadati; Bacteroidota; Bacteroidia; Bacteroidales.